CCUACGGGCGGCAGCAGUGAGGAAUAUUGGUCAAUGGGCGCGAGCCUGACCCAGCCAAGUAGCGUGAAGGAUGACUGCCCUACGGGUUGUAAACUUCUUUUAGAAAGGAAUAAAGUGAGGCACGUGUGCCUUUUUGUGUGUACUUUAUGAAUAAGGAUCGGCUAACGCCGUGCCAGCAGCCGCGGUAAUACGGAGGAUCCGAGCGUUAUCCGGAUUUAUUGGGUGUAAAGGGAGCGUAGAUGGGUUGUUAAGUCAGCUGUGAAAGUUUGCGGCUCAACCGUAACACUGCAAUUGAUACUGGUAGUCUUGAGUACAGUUGAGGUAGGUGGAAUUCGUGGUGUAGCGGUGAAAUGCUUAGAUAUCACGAAGAACUCCGAUUGCGAAGGCAGCUUACUAAACUGUCACUGACAUUGAUGCUCGAAAGUGUGGGUAUCAAACAGGAUUAGAUACCCCUGUAGUC
This 460-nucleotide ribosomal RNA is filed under the name uncultured bacterium. RNAcentral's name for it is "partial 16S ribosomal RNA". It matches the Rfam family "Bacterial small subunit ribosomal RNA", at positions 338 to 795 of the family's 1533-position model. The record is from RNAcentral.